GACGAACGCUGGCGGCGUGCCUAAUACAUGCAAGUCGAACGAGAGCGACCGGUGCUUGCACUGGUCAAUCUAGUGGCGAACGGGUGAGUAACACGUGGGUAACCUGCCCAUCAGAGGGGGAUAACAUCCGGAAACGGAUGCUAAAACCGCAUAGGUCUUCGAACCGCAUGGUUUGAAGAGGAAAAGAGGCGCAAGCUUCUGCUGAUGGAUGGACCCGCGGUGCAUUAGCUAGUUGGUGAGGUAACGGCUCACCAAGGCCGUGAUGCAUAGCCGACCUGAGAGGGUGAUCGGCCACAUUGGGACUGAGACACGGCCCAAACUCCUACGGGAGGCAGCAGUAGGGAAUCUUCCGCAAUGGACGCAAGUCUGACGGAGCAACGCCGCGUGAGUGAAGAAGGUUUUCGGAUCGUAAAACUCUGUUGUUAGAGAGGAACAAGUGCUAGAGUAACUGUUAGCGCCUUGACGGUAUCUAACCAGAAAGCCACGGCUAACUACGUG
RNAcentral lists this ribosomal RNA (498 nucleotides) under uncultured bacterium. RNAcentral describes it as "partial 16S ribosomal RNA". It matches the Rfam family "Bacterial small subunit ribosomal RNA", at positions 28 to 507 of the family's 1533-position model. The record is from RNAcentral.